Molecule: ribosomal RNA, 450 nt
Filed under: uncultured bacterium
Lineage: Bacteria
Description: partial 16S ribosomal RNA
Rfam family: Bacterial small subunit ribosomal RNA
Source: RNAcentral
GUGGGGAAUUUUGGACAAUGGGCGAAAGCCUGAUCCAGCAAUGCCGCGUGCAGGAUGAAGGCCCUCGGGUUGUAAACUGCUUUUGUACGGAACGAAAAGCCUGGGGCUAAUAUCCCCGGGUCAUGACGGUACCGUAAGAAUAAGCACCGGCUAACUACGUGCCAGCAGCCGCGGUAAUACGUAGGGUGCAAGCGUUAAUCGGAAUUACUGGGCGUAAAGCGUGCGCAGGCGGAUGUGUAAGACAGGCGUGAAAUCCCCGGGCUCAACCUGGGAAUUGCGCUUGUGGCUGCAAGGCUGGAGUGCGGCAGAGGGGGAUGGAAUUCCGCGUGUAGCAGUGAAAUGCGUAGAUAUGCGGAGGAACACCGAUGGCGAAGGCAAUCCCCUGGGCCUGCACUGACGCUCAUGCACGAAAGCGUGGGGAGCAAACAGGAUUAGAAACCCUAGUAGUCC